Molecule: ribosomal RNA, 158 nt
Filed under: Ceratocystis fimbriata
Lineage: Eukaryota; Fungi; Ascomycota; Sordariomycetes; Microascales; Ceratocystidaceae
Description: 5.8S ribosomal RNA
Rfam family: 5.8S ribosomal RNA
About the family: 5.8S ribosomal RNA (5.8S rRNA) is a component of the large subunit of the eukaryotic ribosome. It is transcribed by RNA polymerase I as part of the 45S precursor that also contains 18S and 28S rRNA.
Source: RNAcentral
AAACUUUCAACAACGGAUCUCUUGGCUCUAGCAUCGAUGAAGAACGCAGCGAAAUGCGAUAAGUAAUGUGAAUGGCAAAAUUCAGUGAAUCAUCGAAUCUUUGAACGCACAUUGCGCCUGGCAGUAUUCUGCCAGGCAUGCCUGUCCGAGCGUCAUUU